ACCACCUUAAAAAUAAUCCCAUCAGAUCUAAACACGGGUCUGAGUGGUUAUAAAGGGAGACAAGUGAAAUUGAGACUGAUGUCCAUUCUUUGUGACACACACUUGUUUAAAAACGAA
This 117-nucleotide small nucleolar RNA is filed under the name Echinops telfairi (small Madagascar hedgehog). RNAcentral's name for it is "Small nucleolar RNA SNORA61 (ENSETEG00000025392.1)". Lineage: Eukaryota; Metazoa; Chordata; Mammalia; Afrosoricida; Tenrecidae. The record is from RNAcentral.